This 458-nucleotide long non-coding RNA is filed under the name Phasianus colchicus (ring-necked pheasant). RNAcentral describes it as "lncRNA (ENSPCLG00000021985.1)". Lineage: Eukaryota; Metazoa; Chordata; Aves; Galliformes; Phasianidae. The record is from RNAcentral.
UAACUCAGGGAGUCUUUUUCGGUUAAUGAUACUGAAAAUAUCAAGAGCAAAAUCCCAAGUCUGUACGAGGAGAGAACUGUCUGUCAUGGAUGUUGUAGAAACUUGGUAUUUGCCUACAAUCAUCUGAUUUUGUUUGUUGAUGUUGUUGUCGUUUCUACAAGGCAAGAUGGGCCAGCAUGGUUGUUACAUCUACAUGGGUUUUGUUGAAAUGAUAUUUUGUCCUUCUGUUUAUUGAAUUUUGAUUUUUAAUAUAGUUCCUGGAGUAUUUGCUACUCAACAGCAUGAUUUCUCUGUUUCUUUCUAUUUGAGAGCAGAAAUAGACCUUGUCAUAAGAAUUUACAAAAGUGAACAUUGCUCUCAUGUUUUAAAAAUAAUAAUAAUAAUGAAGAGAUGCUCAUUGAACUUAUGGAUGCUUUCAUAGAAAUAAAUGUCUUCUCCAAAUGAGUAAGUUUUAAUGG